Molecule: ribosomal RNA, 253 nt
Filed under: uncultured bacterium
Lineage: Bacteria
Description: partial 16S ribosomal RNA
Rfam family: Bacterial small subunit ribosomal RNA
Source: RNAcentral
UACAGAGGGGGCCAGCGUUAUUCGGAAUUAUUGGGCGUAAAGGGCGCGUAGGCGGCCUUGCGUGUCUUUCGUGAAAUCCCUCGGCUUAACUGAGGACGUGCGGAAGAAACUGCAGGGCUGGAGUCCGGGAGAGGGGGGUGGAAUUCCCAGUGUAGCGGUGAAAUGCGUAGAUAUUGGGAGGAACACCGGUGGCGAAGGCGGCCCCCUGGACCGGUACUGACGCUGAGGCGCGAAAGCGUGGGUAGCAAACGGG